This 270-nucleotide long non-coding RNA is filed under the name Medicago truncatula (barrel medic). RNAcentral's name for it is "lncRNA gene31272". The stretch from base 11 to 83 matches the Rfam family "tRNA". Lineage: Eukaryota; Viridiplantae; Streptophyta; Magnoliopsida; Fabales; Fabaceae. The record is from RNAcentral.
UAAAUAAGAAGCUGGAAUAGCUCAGUUGGUUAGUGUGUGUGGCUCUAACCACAAGGUCAGAGGUUCAACCCUUCCUUUUAGCGACUUUUCAUUUUUUUUGUAUUUAUUUUUCUUCUAAUAUUUUUUUGUUUUAUUUUUCUUCAUAUACUAUUUUAAGGCUUGUUGUUAAUGACUGAUAGGUGAUAGCUUAUAGCUGAAAAACUCGCUUAUUAAAAAUAAUGUGUUUGGCAAAUUAACUUUUGAAGUGGUUGAUAAGUAUGAAAUGACAUC